RNAcentral lists this ribosomal RNA (254 nucleotides) under uncultured prokaryote. RNAcentral's name for it is "partial 16S ribosomal RNA". It matches the Rfam family "Bacterial small subunit ribosomal RNA", at positions 524 to 776 of the family's 1533-position model. The record is from RNAcentral.
UACGUAGGGGGCAAGCGUUAUCCGGAUUUACUGGGCUUAAAGAGCGCGUAGGCGGGCCGGCGCGUCGGAUGCUGAAAUCCCCCGGCUCAACCGGGGAAGUGGCGCCGAUACGGCCGGCCUGGAGGGGCGUAGGGGGACCUGGAACUCCCGGUGGAGCGGUGAAAUGCGUUGAGAUCGGGAGGAACGCCCGUGGCGAAAGCGAGGUCCUGGACGCCUUCUGACGCUGAGGCGCGAAAGCCAGGGGAGCGAACGGG